GACUUCGUCACUUGACAUAGCCUGCACCAAGGUUUCCAUAAAAGAAGAAAAGAAGUUGAAUUUUGCCAUAGAAGGCUACAAAUGAAUAAUUCAUGUCAUUGUUGUGAGAAAUUAUUUCAUGCAACCAUUGUAUAUACAAAGAAUAGAUUUUGAUCGUUAACCAUGAUGAAACCGACACGAAACCCGCCAUAAUCAAUAGCGAUAACAAAGUUAUUGUAUAUACAAUGGUUGUGUUCUUGUUGGAAGUGGGUCAAGAAGUAUGACUUCAUUGUCUGCGUACAAAUUCAACAUGAAUUCCUAAUCGAUGAUGAAAUUUUUUUCCAUUUCCUCUUAUUCUUAUACAUUAAUUAACUAAAUCAUUUAGAAAGCUUUUCAUUGUCAUCAUCAUAAUAUACUGAUAGGCUGAGUUCAGCGUGCGAGUAAAAUGCUUCGUUUCUAUUGAACUCCACAAAAACAUAUACUUAUCCAGGAAAUAUGAACUACAUGCCUGUGUUAGAAAUCAUUUAAAAAUUAUAACAAG
Molecule: unclassified non-coding RNA, 520 nt
Filed under: Hevea brasiliensis (rubber tree)
Lineage: Eukaryota; Viridiplantae; Streptophyta; Magnoliopsida; Malpighiales; Euphorbiaceae
Source: RNAcentral